RNAcentral lists this ribosomal RNA (443 nucleotides) under uncultured bacterium. RNAcentral's name for it is "partial 16S ribosomal RNA". It matches the Rfam family "Bacterial small subunit ribosomal RNA", at positions 338 to 795 of the family's 1533-position model. The record is from RNAcentral.
CCUACGGGUGGCAGCAGUGGGGAAUAUUGGGCAAUGGGCGCAAGCCUGACCCAGCAACGCCGCGUGAAGGAAUAAGGCUUUCGGGUUGUUAACUUCUUUUCUCAGGGACGAAGCAAGUGACGGUACCUGAGGAAUAAGCUACGGCUAACUACGUGCCAGCAGCCGCCGGAAUACGUAGGUGGGAAGCGUUAUCCGGAUUUACUGGGGGUAAAGGGUGUGUAGGCGGGACUGCAAGUCAGCUGUGAAAACCACGGGCUCAACCUGUGGCCUGCAUUUGAAACUGUAGUUCUUGAGUACUGGAGAGGCAGGCGGAAUUCGUGGUGUAGCGGUGAAAUGCGUAGAUAUUAGGAUGAACACCAGUGGCGAAGGCGGUCUGCUGGACAGCAACUGACGCUGAGGCGCGAAAGCGUGGGGAGCAAACAGGAUUAGAUACCCGGGUAGUC